Molecule: long non-coding RNA, 978 nt
Filed under: Homo sapiens (human)
Lineage: Eukaryota; Metazoa; Chordata; Mammalia; Primates; Hominidae
Description: HSALNT0187818
Source: RNAcentral
CUCUCAUGGAGAGCUGAAAUGUUCAUGAAUAUCAAGGAGAACAGGAAUAAAAUGCAUGAACUGAACUAGUAGAAGACAAAGUAAUCUUUUUAACUUUUUGGAUAAAACAUUGCUGAUUCUUUGUUUUUUUUUUCUCAGAGUCAAGAAAACUUUUAAGCUAUUUACAGCUUUUAACAAUUAAGUAUGUUCCUACAAACAAAAUUUGGAGCAUAUUUAUUUCUCUCUACUGAUUUCUCCAGAAUUUGUAAACUAUUUGAAUCAAGCUUGACUUAUGGAGACAAUAAAAGUCCCUUGGAAAAACUGGCCUCAUACCUUGGUCUACAUAGCUCCUGAUCUGCGGACAUGAGACUUCACAACCUUCCAAAAAUGAGCUUUCCUAAUAACUUGGUAUGUACCUGUCUAAGAGUAAACCAUCACAGCCAUGAGAGAGCAGACGAAACCUGGGACCAGAGACUCAUUUUCUUCUAAAAUGCUUUCUCCAAAAGAUUUUAAUAAAGAAAAGGGGAGAAAUGUGAGAGGAAAAUAUCUUGGGCCCCCCAAAUCACUAAGCUAAAGGGAAAAUUCAAGCUGGGAACUGCUUAGGGCAAACCUGCUUCCCGUUCUAUUCAAAGUCAUCCUUCUGCUUACUGAGAUAAAUGCAUAUCUGAUUGUCUCCUUUGGAAAGGCUAAUCAGAAACUCAAAAGAAUGCAACUGUUUUUCUCUGACCUACUUGUGACCUGGAAGCCCCCUCCCCUCUUUGAGUUGGCCCGCAUUUGCUUCAAGUUGUCUCACCUGUCUAGACCAAACCAAUGUUCAUUUUACAUAUGUUGAUUGACAUCUCAUGUCUUUCUAAAAUGUAUAAAACCAAGCUAUGCGUUCUGACCACCUUGGGCACAUGUUGUCCAGACCUCCUGGGACUCUGUCAUGGGUGUGUCCUCAACCUUGGCAAAAUAAACUUUCUAAAUUAACAGACCUGUCUCAAAUUUUGGGGGUUCACA